This 626-nucleotide long non-coding RNA is filed under the name Hordeum vulgare. RNAcentral describes it as "long non-coding RNA (HVUL_LNC017068)". The record is from RNAcentral. Lineage: Eukaryota; Viridiplantae; Streptophyta; Magnoliopsida; Poales; Poaceae.
UUUUCAAGCAUACAAAAUUUAUAGCUACUUCUUGAUUUCAAAUAACUCAAGAAGCAAGAACAAAUUCACAACUCUUCAUAUGGCUUAUGAGUGAACAAUCUUGCUACUACAUCAUUUGUGAUUUCGUCACUUUAUUUGCUUAACACACUAUCCUAUAUAAGCUAGUUUUUUAGGGUUCUAUAUAAGCUAGUUGGUACCCAUUUGUUCGUUAUUAUAGAUGGUUGGAGCCGGUUUUAUGCAUAACCUGCACAGGCACCCAUCAGGAGUACACUCGCUUUUUUUGGCUUGCCUUGUACGUUUCACACAUUCAUUUUCACAAGUUUUUCUAUUACAUGGCUUUGUCGAUGGGAGAAUUUUGUCCACACAUGUGAAGAGUUUCAUGCUAUCAUCCAUUGAUGCAUCCACUACCACAUCUGCAAAAUUUCAUGAUUAAGAAUAGGGAUUGUCACAACAAGACCAUUAUUUGUUGGGAGACAUUCUGAACAAAUGCAUCACAUGAACAAAUGAGUACCUGAUGCUAACAUGAGAAAUAGGAAGGACAGAAGCAACAUCCGGGUAGUCCUCAUUUGAACUAGUGUUUGUGUUAAAGGAGCGAAUUGCAGAUUGUUGUGUGAUAUGCAAGUUCU